Molecule: ribosomal RNA, 307 nt
Filed under: uncultured Oidiodendron
Lineage: Eukaryota; Fungi; Ascomycota; Leotiomycetes; Myxotrichaceae
Description: eukaryotic LSU rRNA
Rfam family: 5.8S ribosomal RNA (bases 1-123)
Source: RNAcentral
UCGAUGAAGAACGCAAGCGAAAUGCGAUAAGUAAUGCGAAUUGCAGAAUUCAGUGAGUCAUCGAAUCUUUGAACGCACAUUGCGCCCUGUGGUAUUCCGCAGGGCAUGCCUGUUCGAGCGUCAUUUCAACCCUCAAGCCUCGCUUGGUGUUGGGCCCUGCCCGCCGCGGCCGGCCCUAAAGAUAGUGGCGGCGCCGCCUGGCCCUCAGCGUAGUACAUCUCUCGCUCCAGGGUCCGGCGGCAGCCUGCCAGAACCCCCCAACUCUGUGGUUGACCUCGGAUCAGGUAGGGAUACCCGCUGAACUUAA